RNAcentral lists this ribosomal RNA (537 nucleotides) under uncultured bacterium. RNAcentral's name for it is "bacterial SSU rRNA". It matches the Rfam family "Bacterial small subunit ribosomal RNA", at positions 777 to 1314 of the family's 1533-position model. The record is from RNAcentral.
AAUAGAUACCCAGGUAGUCCACGCCGUAAACGGUGGGUGCUAGGUGUGGGAGACUAUCUACGUUUUCCGCGCCGCAGCUAACGCAUUAAGCACCCCGCCUGGGGAGUACGGCCGCAAGGCUAAAACUCAAAGGAAUUGACGGGGGCCCGCACAAGCGGCGGAGCAUGCGGCUUAAUUCGAUGCAACGCGAAGAACCUUACCUAGGCUUGACAUAUACGGGAAGCAGGCAGAGAUGUCUGUGCCUUCGGGCUCGUAUACAGGUGGUGCAUGGCUGUCGUCGGCUCGUGUCGUGAGAUGUUGGGUUAAGUCCCGCAACGAGCGCAACCCUCGUCCUAUGUUGCCAGCGGGUAAUGCCGGGGACUCAUAGGAGACUGCCGGGGUCAACUCGGAGGAAGGUGGGGACGACGUCAAGUCAUCAUGCCCCUUACGUCUAGGGCUGCACGCAUGCUACAAUGGCCGGUACAAAGGGCUGCAAUACCGCAAGGUUGAGCGAAUCCCAAAAAGCCGGUCUCAGUUCGGAUUGGGGUCUGCUAACCG